RNAcentral lists this ribosomal RNA (253 nucleotides) under uncultured bacterium. Its description in RNAcentral is "partial 16S ribosomal RNA". It matches the Rfam family "Bacterial small subunit ribosomal RNA", at positions 524 to 776 of the family's 1533-position model. The record is from RNAcentral.
UACGGGGGGGGCAAGCGUUGUUCGGAAUUACUGGGCGUAAAGGGCUCGUAGGUGGCCAACUAAGUCAGACGUGAAAUCCCUCAGCUUAACUGGGGAACUGCGUCUGAUACUGGAUGGCUUGAGAUUGGGAGAGGGAUGCGGAAUUCCAGGUGUAGCGGUGAAAUGCGUAGAUAUCUGGAGGAACACCGGUGGCGAAGGCGGCUUCCUGGACCGACACUGACGCUGAGGCGCGAAAGCUAGGGGAGCAAACGGG